Molecule: small nucleolar RNA, 152 nt
Organism: Plasmodium relictum
Lineage: Eukaryota; Apicomplexa; Aconoidasida; Haemosporida; Plasmodiidae
Product: small nucleolar RNA snoR03
Exons: 1
Source: RefSeq, a predicted model, not a curated record
AAAAAAAUUUGUUCCAUUAGUGUUCCAUGAACUCAAUAUAAUGAGUGAGUGGGUCAAAAAAUGGAUAAAUAAAUUUAAGAAUAUAAUUAAAUUUUUUUUAUUUUUAUGAUACUUUAUACAUAAAAAUAUUUUAGUUCUUUAACAAUAUUAAU